This 812-nucleotide long non-coding RNA is filed under the name Eucalyptus grandis. RNAcentral describes it as "long non-coding RNA (EGRA_LNC001470)". The record is from RNAcentral. Lineage: Eukaryota; Viridiplantae; Streptophyta; Magnoliopsida; Myrtales; Myrtaceae.
GGCAACCCACGUGGGAGGGGCAGCUGGCUUCGGAUGGGACGUCGGUUCAGCCGGCGGAGGCCGCUUGGCGCAUGGGGACCGGCGGUCGAAGCUCCGUCGACCGGCUGCCCCUCGCCUAUAAAUAGGCCCUCGUUUCCGUCGUUGAGAGGCCACGCCGAGAGCGAUCGAAGGCUGCAAAGCUUCGAGCUUCCUGCUGAGAGACUUCAGAAGGGGAGCCGAGGUCGAGCAAGCCCAGAUCCGAAGGCUCGCGGCCGGAGAAAGAGAGGUUUUGCCGGAGAGACGAACAGAGAGAGAGGGAAUCGGAUCUAAGGCUGCAGAUUUCGGGUUCCCCACUGAGAGACUUCAGGGGGGUCCGAGGACUCGCAGCCAAAGAUCUGAGGCCCGCCGGAGCAGGUCGUGAGCUUAAACGGCCUCCCACCGAGAGACAUCGGGGGAGGCCGCGGGCAAGCGAGCCUGCAGAGAGAGGAGAAUCCAAGCGCAAGAGACGGUCGAGGCUUAGAUCCACCGUCGAUUCAGCUCCAACGCCGCCCCAAACACCAUCUCGACGCCGUCCAGAUCUAAGUCACCGUCGUCUCCGCGAGCAGUGCCACCGUGCCGAGCCAAAGCCGAGAGCAGGUGACGACGGAGCCCUGUCUACGCCGUCCAUCCAAAGCUCUGAUGGCCGUCGCAUUUGCCAUUCACUGUCGUCGCCGUAGCCACCGUAGCCGCCGUCGCCGCCGUCGCCGCCGGAAUGCUCCCGUUUCCCCCCUUUCGGCGCCGCGAAUUCGCAAACCCUAGGGUUUGCGAUUUCCGGGUCGCGAAGCGGAUCCGGG